RNAcentral lists this ribosomal RNA (292 nucleotides) under uncultured bacterium. RNAcentral's name for it is "partial 16S ribosomal RNA". It matches the Rfam family "Bacterial small subunit ribosomal RNA", at positions 337 to 642 of the family's 1533-position model. The record is from RNAcentral.
UCCUACGGGGGGCAGCAGUGAGGAAUAUUGGUCAAUGGUCGGGAGACUGAACCAGCCAAGCCGCGUGAGGGAGGAAGGUACAGAGUAUCGUAAACCUUUUUUCUCAGGGACGAAGCAAGUGACGGUACCUGAGGAAUAAGCCACGGCUAACUACGUGCCAGCAGCCGCGGUAAUACGUAGGUGACAAGCGUUAUCCGGAUUUACUGGGUGUAAAGGGCGUGUAGGCGGGACUGCAAGUCAGAUGUGAAAACCACGGGCUCAACCUGUGGCCUGCAUUUGAAACUGUAGUUCU